Molecule: long non-coding RNA, 730 nt
Organism: Bos taurus (domestic cattle)
Lineage: Eukaryota; Metazoa; Chordata; Mammalia; Artiodactyla; Bovidae
Source: Ensembl
GUGAGGUGAAGGGCAGCUCGAGCAGGGCCUGCUGACGGUGCAGAGAAUGAUCGAGAAGCCGCCCUCCUGAGCGCGGAGGCCUGGAGCUUCCUUCUGCGUGGCAGGAGGGCGCUGGCCUGUGGUCCCUCUCAGUGGGGGCGGGAGGAACUGAUCUCUCAGCAUGAAAUGGUCGCCUGGCCUCUGGGAAGGCUCCCAGCAGUCGACGCCCAGGCCAGGCCUGGCCGGCUGCUCCUCCAGCUGCUGCUCCCAGCCGGAGCCAUUUUCCGACCCCAAAGACUUGUCAGCAGGACUAGAAAUGCAGGAGACGGCUUAGAAUGCAGUGAAACCAACAUUAGAAUGCAGGGAACCAACCCGGCUUGGACCCUCAAAUGUAACCCCGAAUAUCAGCAGCAGACCCCCCCACCCCUGGGGGAAAAGUCUCCAAUCAGAGAUCCUCUGAGGCGAGCCAAGAGCGGUUUUGGAGGGAGCAGCGCAUAUUUUGAGGGAAGAAGCCCCAUGAGAGCCUCCCUGCAAGAAGCCAGAACAUUAUCACCAACCCCUCUCCUCUGUCCCCUCAAAGGCCUCUCCUGACCACAGUGUUAGUCCUCUGAGUUGGCUGGUAGAACAAUUAGCUUUCCUCAGGGCAUGGGCGGAUCACCAAGUCAGGCCUCCAAGCAGGGGUUUCCUGUCACCAAAGCCACACUAAUGCAAAUCCAUUUUUUAUUAGGCGAAAAUAAAACUCACAAGUGAC